This 468-nucleotide ribosomal RNA is filed under the name Penaeus japonicus. RNAcentral describes it as "partial 16S ribosomal RNA". It matches the Rfam family "Bacterial large subunit ribosomal RNA", at positions 1854 to 2571 of the family's 2925-position model. The record is from RNAcentral. Lineage: Eukaryota; Metazoa; Arthropoda; Malacostraca; Decapoda; Penaeidae.
UAGCCUGCCCACUGAUUUGUUUUAAAGGGCCGCGGUAUAUUGACCGUGCGAAGGUAGCAUAAUCAUUAGUCUUUUAAUUGGAGGCUUGUAUGAAUGGUUGGACAAAAAGUAAGCUGUCUCGGUUAUAAUAAUUGAACUUAACUUUUAAGUGAAAAGGCUUAAAUGUUUCAGGGGGACGAUAAGACCCUAUAAAGCUUGACAAUAAUUUCGUUAUAUUAUAAAUUGUUAGUAUAACUUGAUUUUAACGGGAGUUUGUUUCGUUGGGGCGACGGGAAUAUAAUAAAUAACUGUUCUUUUAAAUAUAAUUACAAAAAUACUUGGUAAAUAAUUGAUCCUCUAUUAGAGAUUAAAAGAUUAAGUUACUUUAGGGAUAACAGCGUAAUCUUCUUUGAGAGUCCACAUCGACAAGAAGGUUUGCGACCUCGAUGUUGAAUUAAGGUAUCCUUAUAAUGCAGCAGUUAUAAAGGA